Molecule: RNase P RNA, 394 nt
Filed under: Falsirhodobacter flavus
Lineage: Bacteria; Pseudomonadati; Pseudomonadota; Alphaproteobacteria; Rhodobacterales; Paracoccaceae
Description: Cereibacter flavus RNase P RNA component class A
Rfam family: Bacterial RNase P class A
About the family: Ribonuclease P (RNase P) is a ubiquitous endoribonuclease, found in archaea, bacteria and eukarya as well as chloroplasts and mitochondria.
Source: RNAcentral
GCGGAUGGCCGGAUGACCGCGUGGGGCAACCCGCGAGGAAAGUCCGGACUCCAUGAGGCAAGGGUGCCGGGUAACGCCCGGCCGGGGCAACCCGAGGGAAAGCGCCACAGAGAAGAGUCUGCCCGGCACGUUCGGGCGAUGGUGAAACGGUGGGGUAAGAGCCCACCGCGGACCUGGCAACAGGGACGGCAAGGCAAGCCCCACCCGGAGCAAUGCCGAAUAGGGACCCCGCGCCUGUAAGGUCCGCGCCUUAGCGGAGACCACAGGCAGGAUGCUUCAGCCCAGGGGUCCGGGUUGGCAGCUAGAUCCCACCGGCAACGGCGGGACCAGAGGAAUGGUCAUCGAAGGGAAGCGAUUCCCGGAACAAAAUCCGGCUUACAGGCCAUCCGCGCAA